AGCCUGUGGUAGCUUACCACAGGCUGCAUUCUUACACUGACUGUAUAGAAGGAGGAGGCAAAAUAACCUACCCCAUGUACACCUCAGCCCAGGCCCUAUGCUUGGUCUGUAUCAUGAAUGGGGAGACAUGG
RNAcentral lists this small nucleolar RNA (131 nucleotides) under Castor canadensis (American beaver). Its description in RNAcentral is "Small nucleolar RNA SNORA51 (ENSCCNG00000020122.1)". It matches the Rfam family "Small nucleolar RNA SNORA51". From Rfam's summary of the family: ACA51 is a member of the H/ACA class of snoRNA that guide the sites of modification of uridines to pseudouridines. Lineage: Eukaryota; Metazoa; Chordata; Mammalia; Rodentia; Castoridae. The record is from Rfam by way of RNAcentral.